Molecule: non-coding RNA, 122 nt
Organism: Oryza brachyantha (malo sina)
Lineage: Eukaryota; Viridiplantae; Streptophyta; Magnoliopsida; Poales; Poaceae
Source: Rfam
UGUACAUGAUAGAAUCAAGGCCUGUUUCUCGCAACAUUCGCAGUUGCCGCCUAAGUGCUUUCGCCCUGCCUGGCUUGAGAGCUAAUGCUGCCAAAUCAUUCCUUCCUUGGAUGUUUGAUGCA